Molecule: ribosomal RNA, 924 nt
Filed under: Triticum aestivum (bread wheat)
Lineage: Eukaryota; Viridiplantae; Streptophyta; Magnoliopsida; Poales; Poaceae
Description: partial small subunit ribosomal RNA
Source: RNAcentral
AUGACUACCUGCUUCUCGGACAUUAUCAAAGAUCAUUCCCUUGAUUUCAUAGGCUUACAAGAAACCAAAAAAGAGAUUCCUCCUAAAUUCUUACGCAAGAUUGACCCCUAUGAUAGGUUUGCUUGGAACUGGGUACCCUCUAUUGGCAAAUCUGGUGGCAUCCUUUGUGGUGUUAAAAGAGAAACUCUGGAAGUGGUUUCAUGGACGGUGGGUAGAUUUUGUUUGCGAACUAUCCUUUUUGAUAUAAACCUGAAAUGUGUGUGGGCACUUAUAGUUGUAUAUGGUGCGGCGCAAGAUGAUAAGAAAGAUGACUUCCUUUGUGAACUUGCAUCCAUGUGUUCACAUCUCCAGGUUCCUUACAUUGUGGGAGGGGAUUUUAAUAUUCUUUGUGAAAGCUGUGAGAAAAAUAAGAACUUAAAUCGGUCUCCUUACAUGGAUAAAUUCAAUUCCAUCAUCCAAUCUCUGAACCUGCGUGAGAUAUAUAUGGGAGGGGGAAAGUAUACCUGGUCCAACCACCAGAGACAUCCUACCUUAGAAAAGCUCGAUAGAGUCCUUAUGAGUUUUGAAUGGGAAGACCUCUUUUCCCUGGUCACUGUCCGGAAGCUGGUACGGGAUGUGUCAGACCAUAACCCUCUCCUACUGUCUUCUAACUCAAAUGUUUCAAAACCCACUCGACAACGUGAGUUCAGAUUUGAACUCAGUUGGCUUAAAAAUGAAGAUUUCUAUCCCAUAGCUAAGAAGUUAUGGGAACAACCAGUUGCCUCUGAUGAUCCCAUUGACAUCCUAAACAUCAAGCUCAAAAGGCUGAAAACGUACUUCAAAGGGUGGGGCUCCCAUUUGUUUGGCCAUGCGAAGAAAAGAAAAAAAUAUAUUCAAAAAGAGCUAGAAGAGAUUGAGACCUUAGAAGAAGAGGGCCCCCCUUGA